GAUCCUGGCUCAGGAUGAACGCUAGCUACAGGCUUAACACAUGCAAGUCGAGGGGCAGCAUGGACCCCAGCUUUGCUGGGUUUGAUGGCGACCGGCGCACGGGUGAGUAACGCGUAUCCAACCUGCCCUUUACUCCGGGGAUAGUCUCCUGAAAGGGAGUUUAAUACCGGAUGUGUUUGUCUUUCUGCAUGGGAGCGACAAAUAAAGAUUAAUUGGUAAAGGAUGGGGAUGCGUCCCCAUUAGCUUG
Molecule: ribosomal RNA, 247 nt
Filed under: uncultured bacterium
Lineage: Bacteria
Description: partial 16S ribosomal RNA
Rfam family: Bacterial small subunit ribosomal RNA
Source: RNAcentral